GAUGAACGCUGGCGGCGUGCCUAAUACAUGCAAGUCGAGCGAACGGACGAGGAGCUUGCUUCUCUGAUGUUAGCGGCGGACGGGUGAGUAACACGUGGAUAACCUACCUAUAAGACUGGGAUAACUUCGGGAAACCGGAGCUAAUACCGGAUAAUAUUUUGAACCGCAUGGUUCAAAAGUGAAAGACGGUCUUGCUGUCACUUAUAGAUGGAUCCGCGCUGCAUUAGCUAGUUGGUAAGGUAACGGCUUACCAAGGCAACGAUGCAUAGCCGACCUGAGAGGCGGGUCGCCCACCCUGGAACGGAGACACGGUCCAUACUCCUACGGGAGGCAGCAGUCGGGAACCUUCCGCAGUGGGCGAAAGCAUGACAGAGCGACGCCGCGUGAGUGAUGAAGGUCUUCGGAUCGUAAAACUCUGUUAUUAGGGAAGAACAUAUGUGUAAGUAACUGUACACAUCUUGACGGUACCUAAUCAGAAAGCCACGGCUAACUACGUG
RNAcentral lists this ribosomal RNA (497 nucleotides) under uncultured bacterium. RNAcentral describes it as "partial 16S ribosomal RNA". It matches the Rfam family "Bacterial small subunit ribosomal RNA", at positions 28 to 507 of the family's 1533-position model. The record is from RNAcentral.